GGGAAGGGACAGGGAUAGGGAUCACAGAAUCACAGCACCCUGCUUUGCAGGUGAUGGAUUUGGGAAGAGUUCACCUUUAUUUCUAGAAAUCCCCAAAAGAUGGCAACCAGAAAACGAACAUUUCAGACCUUAGGUCUCAAGGAAUCUUUUGUUCAUUAAAAAAAAAUCCUUCUUCAGGUAAAUCCCAAGCUAAUGGUGUUCUCUCUUCUGCCCUUUCAAAGGACAGGGACAUUCACUUCUCAGUGUUCAGCUGCUCUCUGUGAAGGGGUAAAUCACAGCUCAGUGACUGAAUUACCUGUCACUGGAAUGAUUUCUCUACCAGCACAAAACAGAGGAGCCAACUGUGUUAGUGGCUCACAGAAGCACUGGAUAAUCCACAACUCAACAAGGUUUAACAACACUGAGAAACCAAAACAUCAUCACCUGCCUGCUGCCAUUUCUGGUUUAGUGAAGGAAUUACAAAAUCCCAGCCACUGGGGUUCUCCACCUGAUGUUCCUGCCACUCAUCACUGCUAAAUGGGAAUGCUUGUGUGAUCAUCAAACAGGAUAAACAGCAAGAAUGAAACUCGGGCGAAAUAUUAACACCCCACCCUUUGGUCUCUUCAGCUGGUACUUAACGAGCUCCUGAGUUGCUCAGAGGCCCAGGUGGUGCCCACACAAAGGCUGAGGCUGCAGAGAGUCUGCUCUUGCUCUCUGAGCUUUGCUUUUACUCUUGACAACUGAAAAUAUAACGACUUGUCUAAUUGUCAGAUGACUACCUUGGAACAGGCACGAGAAGACUGGAUCUGUGACUCACAAAAAGCUUUCUGUGUCCCCCUAAAGCACAGAAGAGAGGAGAUAACCCACUUUCAUGUUGCAGUCAAACCACAAGCUAAUCCAAUUAAAGAGAGGACACAGGAAUGCAGGAAGACACCACUGGUCCAUCAGGGCUAAUAUCUCGUUUCUUGCAGAGUUCAGGCCUUAACACUUCAGCAAAAAAUAAAUAUGAGGCACAAAAUCCCUUGCUAAUAGUG
RNAcentral lists this long non-coding RNA (1013 nucleotides) under Manacus vitellinus (golden-collared manakin). RNAcentral's name for it is "lncRNA (ENSMVIG00005010936.1)". The record is from RNAcentral. Lineage: Eukaryota; Metazoa; Chordata; Aves; Passeriformes; Pipridae.